GCCUGGGUGGCUCAGUAGGUUGAGCGUCCGACUUCAAAUCAGGUCAUGAUCUCACGGUUUGUGGGUUCGAGCCCCGCGUCGGGCU
Transfer RNA from Felis catus (domestic cat), 85 nucleotides. It matches the Rfam family "tRNA". From Rfam's summary of the family: Transfer RNA (tRNA) molecules are approximately 80 nucleotides in length. Their secondary structure includes four short double-helical elements and three loops (D, anti-codon, and T loops). NCBI's taxonomy places the organism in Eukaryota, Metazoa, Chordata, Mammalia, Carnivora, Felidae. The record is from Rfam.